UUUUAAUUGAAGGCUUGUAUGAAGGGUUGGACAAAAAAUAAGCUGUCUUUAUUUUUGUUUUUGAAUUUGUCUUUUAAGUGAAAAGACUUAAAUUAUUUUAAGGGACGAUAAGACCCUAUAAAUCUUUAUAUUAGUAUAUUUUUAUUUUAAUUUUUAAUGUAAGGUAAGAUAAAAGUAUGAAAUAUUGUAUUGGGGUGAUAAAAAUAAUUAAUAAACUGUUUUAAAUAAAAACAAAGUUAUUUGAAAAAUGAUAGAUCCUUUUUAGAGAUUAGGAGUUUAAGUUACUUUAGGGAUAACAGCGUUAUUUUUUUUGAGAGUUCUAAUCGAAAAAAAAGUUUGCGACCUCGAUGUUGAAUUAAAAUUUCUUUAUGGUGUAGCUGCUAUAAAAGAGAGUCUGUUCGACUUUUAAAAUUUUACGUGAUCU
RNAcentral lists this ribosomal RNA (424 nucleotides) under Galathea barbellata. RNAcentral's name for it is "partial 16S ribosomal RNA". The stretch from base 292 to 424 matches the Rfam family "Bacterial large subunit ribosomal RNA", at positions 2473 to 2606 of the family's 2925-position model. The record is from RNAcentral. RNAcentral also lists the same sequence under 1 other name. Lineage: Eukaryota; Metazoa; Arthropoda; Malacostraca; Decapoda; Galatheidae.